Molecule: non-coding RNA, 192 nt
Organism: Oryza meridionalis
Lineage: Eukaryota; Viridiplantae; Streptophyta; Magnoliopsida; Poales; Poaceae
Source: Rfam
UUUAAGUGUAACUAUAAGUUUCCAUAUCUAACUUUAAUUAUCCGUCUUAUUUCAAUUUUUUUAUGAUUAGUAUUUUUAUUGUUAUUAGAUGAUAAAACAUGAAUAAUAAUUUAUGUAUAACUUAUUAUUUUUUUUCAAAAAUUUUUUAAACAAGAUAAAUGAUUAAAGUUGGACACGAAAACUGUGUUUAAA